This 235-nucleotide ribosomal RNA is filed under the name uncultured bacterium. RNAcentral's name for it is "partial 16S ribosomal RNA". It matches the Rfam family "Bacterial small subunit ribosomal RNA", at positions 96 to 334 of the family's 1533-position model. The record is from RNAcentral.
CGGCGGACGGGUGAGUAACGCGUAGGAAUCUACCCAGUAGUGGGGGACAACAUGGUGAAAACCAUGCUAAUACCGCAUACGCCCUAUGGGGGAAAGCGGGGGACCUUCGGGCCUCGCGCUAUUGGAUGAGCCUGCGUCGGAUUAGCUUGUUGGUGAGGUAAAAGCUCACCAAGGCGACGAUCCGUAGCUGGUCUGAGAGGAUGAUUAGCCACACUGGAACUGAGACACGGUCCAG